This 497-nucleotide ribosomal RNA is filed under the name uncultured bacterium. RNAcentral describes it as "partial 16S ribosomal RNA". It matches the Rfam family "Bacterial small subunit ribosomal RNA", at positions 28 to 507 of the family's 1533-position model. The record is from RNAcentral.
GAUGAACGCUGGCGGCGUGCCUAAUACAUGCAAGUCGAGCGAACAGACGAGGAGCUUGCUCCUCUGACGUUAGCGGCGGACGGGUGAGUAACACGUGGAUAACCUACCUAUAAGACUGGGAUAACUUCGGGAAACCGGAGCUAAUACCGGAUAACAUGUUGAACCGCAUGGUUCAACAGUGAAAGACGGUUUUGCUGUCACUUAUAGAUGGAUCCGCGCCGCAUUAGCUAGUUGGGAAGGUAACGGCUUACCAAGGCAACGAUGCGUAGCCGACCUGAGAGGGUGAUCGGCCACACUGGAACUGAGACACGGUCCAGACUCCUACGGGAGGCAGCAGUAGGGAAUCUUCCGCAAUGGGCGAAAGCCUGACGGAGCAACGCCGCGUGAGUGAAGAAGGUCUUCGGAUCGUAAAACUCUGUUAUUAGGGAAGAACAAAUGUGUAAGUAACUAUGCACGUCUUGACGGUACCUAAUCAGAAAGCCACGGCUAACUACGUG